UGGGGAAUAUUGGACAAUGGGGGCAACCCUGAUCCAGCGAUGCCGCGUGUGUGAAGAAGGCCUGCGGGUUGUAAAGCACUUUAGGUGGGGAAGAUUGGGUGUAGUUUUAAUAGAGCUACAUUUUGACGUUACCCACGGAAUAAGCACCGGCUAACUCUGUGCCAGCAGCCGCGGUAAUACAGAGGGUGCGAGCGUUAAUCGGAAUUACUGGGCGUAAAGGGCGCGUAGGUGGUUAUUUAAGUUGACUGUGAAAUACCCGGGCUUAACCUGGGGAAGUCAGUCAAAACUGGAUGACUAGAGUAGGAGAGAGGGAAGUGGAAUUUCCGGUGUAGCGGUGAAAUGCGUAGAUAUCGGAAAGAACAUCAGUGGCGAAGGCGGCUUCCUGGUUCCAUACUGACACUGAGGCGCGAAAGCGUGGGGAGCAAACAGG
This 430-nucleotide ribosomal RNA is filed under the name uncultured bacterium. RNAcentral describes it as "bacterial SSU rRNA". It matches the Rfam family "Bacterial small subunit ribosomal RNA", at positions 355 to 776 of the family's 1533-position model. The record is from RNAcentral.